RNAcentral lists this ribosomal RNA (297 nucleotides) under uncultured Pseudomonadota bacterium. RNAcentral's name for it is "uncultured proteobacterium partial 16S ribosomal RNA". It matches the Rfam family "Bacterial small subunit ribosomal RNA", at positions 29 to 351 of the family's 1533-position model. The record is from RNAcentral. Lineage: Bacteria; Pseudomonadati; Pseudomonadota.
AGCGAACGCUGGCGGCAGGCCUAACACAUGCAAGUCGAGCGGCCGUAGCAAUACGGCAGCGGCAGACGGGAGAGUAACACGUGGGAACGCGCCCUUCGGUUCGGGAUAACUCAGGGAAACUUGGGCUAAUACCGGAUACGCCCUUACGGGGAAAGAUUUAUUGCCGAAGGAACGGCCCGCGUCCGAUUAGCUUGUUGGUGAGGUAACGGCUCACCAAGGCGACGAUCGGUAGCUGGUCUGAGAGGAUGACCAGCCUCACUGGGACUGAGACACGGCCCAGACUCCUACGGGAGGCAG